Molecule: long non-coding RNA, 735 nt
Organism: Cuculus canorus (common cuckoo)
Lineage: Eukaryota; Metazoa; Chordata; Aves; Cuculiformes; Cuculidae
Exons: 4
Source: RefSeq, a predicted model, not a curated record
AGGAGAUGGUUGGUCCAGCAACACACAUUUCCAGGCUUCAUUCCAUGUGUGCAAGUAACUUCAUUUCGAAGCAGACUACUGGAGUCAUUCCCCAUCAUCGAUCUGAUGGUGCUGAUUUAUUGGCAAGAUAUGGAGCUGUUUCUCUCUUAUCACCUUGAAGCAAACAAAUCAGGAGGGAUUGUUCCUUGGUCAGGUCUGAGCAGGUCCGGCGCCUGCAAGAGCUUGGGGAAGCUGUGUCCACGUCGCUGGGACUGAACCGGUGCUGUCACGGCUGAUGCUAAUGGAGAGGACAUGUCUCUCCAUUAGAAGUUUACCGACAGUGAAGUGGUUUCCGCUCUGCUGUUCGUUCCAGUUCCCCUGUGGUGAAGUGAGGACUUUGGAGGUUAAAGCCUGUCAGGUCUGGAUCAAGUGUCUGCCACUCUGAUCAGAAAUGUAUUUUUGCUGCAUUUCUUGGGAGAUUCGCCUCUUGAAGACUUUUGCCUCUGUCAGAUGGGACUUGUGUUGGCCAGCGAGUGCAAAAUUACAGGGGGAUGAGGAAGAAGGGAAAGGAUACAGAUGAACACGGGGGUGCUGUGGGAAGCAGAAAUAGAUGCUUGAGUCGCUUAUUUGCGCCAAAGGAAAGCACGAGUCGCACUCUGAAGUCGAUGGUGCCACACCAGAUCUACAGAACCCUUGCCAGGACCAGCAGCUGGCCUCGAGGGUAAAGACACUGCUGCGGGAGACACUGCAGCCUUA